Molecule: long non-coding RNA, 1128 nt
Organism: Paramisgurnus dabryanus
Lineage: Eukaryota; Metazoa; Chordata; Actinopteri; Cypriniformes; Cobitidae
Source: RefSeq, a predicted model, not a curated record
UUUUGCUUAAGGCUCGUACAGACUACAUGACUUUAAAACGUUGGUCCGAACUGUGCGGUUCACACUACAUGACUUGCUCUCUGUGAAAUCAGGAGUGUUCACGUUGUUGAUCAGUUCACACCACACGACAUAACGUGACUGCCCCACAACAGGAGGUAACGCACUACACGAGUUGAGAACAACUCUAUCACCCGGCGAUUCUAUCUUGUCCACAAACCACGUUUUGUCACGAAAAAUCACGCGAUAAAACAAACCGGAAAUGACGCGAAACAACACGCGCACCAGUAAACCCACAGAAGAAGAAUGAAGACGACGCGCAAAACUUUUGUUUGUAUAUAUAGACUUCAGACAGAAAUUCGUGCUGCAAACCGUUUGCGCGAUGCAAAGCCGCAAAAGAAAAAAAUGAAGAGAUGUGUAUGUGGAGAGGUGGAUCAACACCACACGAGGACAGCAGGGAUUUAAGAGUUGGAGAAUAGGACAGGCUUCGCAAAGCAUGACUUGGAGAGCGUUUGUCUUUGACCCUGCGAUUCUAUGCAACAGUGACACGUUCAAGUCCCUCAGGUUCAAGUCCAGGAUGGGGGACCAGCACCAUCUCACAAAUAGUUUUGGAUACCUGUUCUGUACCAGGUUAUAAAGGACGAUUUCUUGAAGACACCAUCAACGGAAGGAGAGUGGCAUAGCCGUGGACUUCGAAAAGAAGUGGCAGUUUCCACAUUGCUUUGGGGUACUUGCUACCACUUCAGCUGUAGCAGACUGCUGACCAAAACAUGGUUGAUGGGCAAUGGAAGAAUCGUGGGAUGGGUGCUUUUCAACCGAUGAACACCACCUCACAUCGCAAUUGUAUGGCAACAGCAAAAGUGCAACGCAAUCUGAUGCGGGAAUACUUUGUCUCACCAGCGUGUAGUGUUUAUUGGCAAGUUCAACACAUUUUAAAAGGAACUGAUGUAGAGUUAUCCCUGCAAACAGCAGAUUAAAGCCAGUUAUUGUCAGUUUAGGACAUUCGUUUUCUUGUGUGUUCUAAAGUCCUUUAUUUGUAAAGAACACAAUGUGGUUCACUUUUUCAUUGUUUUAAGUAUUCUGUUUAUUGUUGUGUUAUUAUUCAAUUAAUUUUAAUUGCAUACAAAAGGU